GAUGAACGCUGGCGGCGUGCCUAAUACAUGCAAGUCGAGCGAACGGACGAGAAGCUUGCUUUUCUGAUGUUAGCGGCGGACGGGUGAGUAACACGUGGAUAACCUACCUAUAAGACUGGGAUAACUUCGGGAAACCGGAGCUAAUACCGGAUAAUAUUUUGAACCGCAUGGUUCAAAAGUGAAAGACGGUCUUGCUGUCACUUAUAGAUGGAUCCGCGCUGCAUUAGCUAGUUGGUAAGGUAACGGCUUACCAAGGCAACGAUGCAUAGCCGACCUGAGAGGGUGAUCGGCCACACUGGAACUGAGACACGGUCCAGACUCCUACGGGAGGCAGCAGUAGGGAAUCUUCCGCAAUGGGCGAAAGCCUGACGGAGCAACGCCGCGUGAGUGAUGAAGGUCUUCGGAUCGUAAAACUCUGUUAUUAGGGAAGAACAUAUGUGUAAGUAACUGUGCACAUCUUGACGGUACCUAAUCAGAAAGCCACGGCUAACUACGUGCCAGCAGCCGCGGUAAUACGUAGGUGGCAAGCGUUAUCCGGAAUUAUUGGGCGUAAAGCGCGCGUAGGCGGUUUUUUAAGUCUGAUGUGAAAGCCCACGGCUCAACCGUGGAGGGUCAUUGGAAACUGGAAAACUUGAGUGCAGAAGAGGAAAGUGGAAUUCCAUGUGUAGCGGUGAAAUGCGCAGAGAUGUGGAGGAACACCAGUGGCGAAGGCGACUUUCUGGUCUGUAACUGACGCUGAUGUGCGAAAGCGUGGGGAUCAAACAGGAUUAGAUACCCUGGUAGUCCACGCCGUAAACGAUGAGUGCUAAGUGUUAGGGGGUUUCCGCCCCUUAGUGCUGCAGCUAACGCAUUAAGCACUCCGCCUGGGGAGUACGACCGCAAGGUUGAAACUCAAAGGAAUUGACGGGGGCCCGCACAAGCGGUGGAGCAUGUGGUUUAAUUCGAAGCAACGCGAAGAACCUUACCAAAUCUUGACAUCCUUUGACAACUCUAGAGAUAGAGCCUUCCCCUUCGGGGGACAAAGUGACAGGUGGUGCAUGGUUGUCGUCAGCUCGUGUCGUGAGAUGUUGGGUUAAGCCCCGCAACGAGCGCAACCCUUAAGCUUAGUUGCCAUCAUUAAGUUGGGCACUCUAAGUUGACUGCCGGUGACAAACCGGAGGAAGGUGGGGAUGACGUCAAAUCAUCAUGCCCCUUAUGAUUUGGGCUACACACGUGCUACAAUGGACAAUACAAAGGGCAGCGAAACCGCGAGGUCAAGCAAAUCCCAUAAAGUUGUUCUCAGUUCGGAUUGUAGUCUGCAACUCGACUACAUGAAGCUGGAAUCGCUAGUAAUCGUAGAUCAGCAUGCUACGGUGAAUACGUUCCCGGGUCU
RNAcentral lists this ribosomal RNA (1372 nucleotides) under uncultured bacterium. Its description in RNAcentral is "bacterial SSU rRNA". It matches the Rfam family "Bacterial small subunit ribosomal RNA", at positions 28 to 1381 of the family's 1533-position model. The record is from RNAcentral.